RNAcentral lists this ribosomal RNA (253 nucleotides) under uncultured bacterium. RNAcentral's name for it is "partial 16S ribosomal RNA". It matches the Rfam family "Bacterial small subunit ribosomal RNA", at positions 524 to 776 of the family's 1533-position model. The record is from RNAcentral.
UACAGAGGGUGCGAGCGUUAAUCGGAAUUACUGGGCGUAAAGCGUGCGCAGGCGGUUUGCUAAGACCGAUGUGAAAUCCCCGGGCUCAACCUGGGAACUGCAUUGGUGACUGGCAGGCUAGAGUAUGGCAGAGGGGGGUAGAAUUCCACGUGUAGCAGUGAAAUGCGUAGAGAUGUGGAGGAAUACCGAUGGCGAAGGCAGCCCCCUGGGCCAAUACUGACGCUCAGGCACGAAAGCGUGGGGAGCAAACAGG